RNAcentral lists this non-coding RNA (20 nucleotides) under Arabidopsis thaliana (thale cress). Lineage: Eukaryota; Viridiplantae; Streptophyta; Magnoliopsida; Brassicales; Brassicaceae. The record is from RNAcentral.
UGGAGGUCCAGGCCGCUUCC